AAAAAAAAGGGCAGACCCCUCAACUCCAAAAACCCAGCCGGAGAUUCCACCAACUCUUUCCAUAGCAUUUCUCCAUCUCACCACCUUUCCACUCCAAACCUUCCUUUCAAACUCUCAAAAUCAUGUUGAAACGGUCCUCUCUGCCUUCGCACAUCUGACGGGUCAACCCGGUAGAACACGGGCAGAACGAGUUUACCCAACUCACAAAUCAUCGCUAAUUCCUCGAGACGCCAUCUCGACGAAUCAUAAGUGGGUGAAAUAAUAGCAAUAGCAACACCAGAAUCGUUGAUUGCAUCCAUAAGAUCUGUUCGAUUUUUCCGGUGAGCUUCGAGGUCAUCGAAAGUUGUUGUCCGAGUUUCCGUUUCAGUCGCAAGCAGGGCCGGAUGGAGGGCCUCUUAAUACAAUUUGGCUUUAGGCCACUAAUUUCGUUGAGCCGCCCCUGAUCGCAAGUCGAGGUACUGUCGUUGGCUUCUGGUUUGAGUUCCGUUCGCGGUUCCGCUUCGAGUUCGCCAACUCUGAUUGGUUUCUGGUUGGAAAUCCAUGUACGCUUCUAAAAGCUUCGACGAAAAUCCGAUUAUGCUAUUCUAAGGUUCAAUUAUUCACUCCUCUGUUCAUUUUGUUCCUAUUUAAUUUUAUGUGUUGUUUUGGCAAUAUGGCUCCUUGCUUCGUGAUCAAUCAUUGCUCUUAGUGAUUUUUUUAUAUUUUUUA
This is a non-coding RNA of Nicotiana tabacum (common tobacco), 708 nucleotides long. The record is from RefSeq and is a predicted model, not a curated record. Lineage: Eukaryota; Viridiplantae; Streptophyta; Magnoliopsida; Solanales; Solanaceae.